CGUAACAAGGUCUCCGUAGGUGAACCUGCGGAGGGAUCAUUACACAAAUAUGAAGGCGGGCUGGAACCUCUCGGGGUUACAGCCUUGCUGAAUUAUUCACCCUUGUCUUUUGCGUACUUCUUGUUUCCUUGGUGGGUUCGCCCACCACUAGGACAAACAUAAACCUUUUGUAAUUGCAAUCAGCGUCAGUAACAAAUUAAUAAUUACAACUUUCAACAACGGAUCUCUUGGUUCUGGCAUCGAUGAAGAACGCAGCGAAAUGCGAUAAGUAGUGUGAAUUGCAGAAUUCAGUGAAUCAUCGAAUCUUUGAACGCACUUUGCGCCCUUUGGUAUUCCAAAGGGCAUGCCUGUUCGAGCGUCAUUUGUACCCUCAAGCUUUGCUUGGUGUUGGGCGUCUUGUCUCUAGCUUUGCUGGAGACUCGCCUUAAAGUAAUUGGCAGCCGGCCUACUGGUUUCGGAGCGCAGCACAAGUCGCACUCUCUAUCAGCAAAGGUCUAGCAUCCAUUAAGCCUUUUUUUCAACUUUUGACCUCGGAUCAGGUAGGGAUACCCGCUGAACUUAAGCAUAUCA
This 570-nucleotide ribosomal RNA is filed under the name uncultured fungus. Its description in RNAcentral is "eukaryotic LSU rRNA". The stretch from base 208 to 361 matches the Rfam family "5.8S ribosomal RNA". The record is from RNAcentral. Lineage: Eukaryota; Fungi.